RNAcentral lists this ribosomal RNA (497 nucleotides) under uncultured bacterium. Its description in RNAcentral is "partial 16S ribosomal RNA". It matches the Rfam family "Bacterial small subunit ribosomal RNA", at positions 28 to 507 of the family's 1533-position model. The record is from RNAcentral.
GAUGAACGCUGGCGGCGUGCCUAAUACAUGCAAGUCGAGCGAACAGACGAGGAGCUUGCUCCUCUGACGUUAGCGGCGGACGGGUGAGUAACACGUGGAUACCCUACCUAUCAGACUGGGAUAACUUCGGGAAACCGGAGCUAAUACCGGAUAAUCUAUUGAACCGCAUGGUUCAAUAGUGAAAGACGGUUUUGCUGUCACUUAUAGAUGGAUCCGCGCCGCAUUAGCUAGUUGGUAAGGUAACGGCUUACCAAGGCAACGAUGCGUAGCCGACCUGAUAGGGUGAUCGGCCACACUAGAACGGGAACACGGUCCAGACUCCUACGGGAGGCAGCAGUAGGGAAUCUUCCGCAAUGGGCGAGAGCCUGACGGAGCAACGCCGCGUGAGUGAUGAAGGUCUUCGGAUCGUAAAGCUCUGUUAUUAGGUAAGAACAAAUGUGUAAGUAACUAUGCACGUCUUGACGGUACCUAGUCAGAAAGCCACGGCUAACUACGUG